This is a long non-coding RNA of Mangifera indica (mango), 1455 nucleotides long. RefSeq lists it as uncharacterized. The record is from RefSeq and is a predicted model, not a curated record. NCBI's taxonomy places the organism in Eukaryota, Viridiplantae, Streptophyta, Magnoliopsida, Sapindales, Anacardiaceae. The transcript has 4 exons.
GAAGCUUAGCUGAGGGAAGGCCUUGAAGAGCCUGAAGCUGAGGUGAUUUAUCUGCAGGAAGCUCUUGGACAAGCGAAUGCCUAGAGCAUGAAACUGAAGGAGAGUUUGUUGGACAAUGAAACUGAGUUGCAGAGUGUCUAAGUAGCUUGAUGAAGAAGCUUUGACCAAAAAGUAAACUGAGGUGAAUGGUGAGCUUUCAGAUAGUGAGAAAAACUAUGAUCUCCUUCUAAAGGUUGUUGAGUUCUCUGAAGAGAAUAGACAUGCUAGUGAAGACAAGUCUAAAAUGGACCUUCCACCGCAUCUAAUAAAGAAGAGAAAAAAAAGAUCCUAAAGAAAAAAAUAAUGGCUUCAACGAUACGAACGUUGGAAAGGUUGCUGCCAAAGUUGAGAAUGCCAAUGGAAAACCAAAAGAAGAUGAGAGCAAAGAGAAAGAAGAUGAUUCAGUCAAAGUUGAGUUCUGGCAGAGCUGCAAAAUUGAAAAGGAGUUUUCUCUCGACGGAGAACUGGAGAAGGAAUCAUUUGAAGAGGAAGUGAAUUCAAAGGUGGAUGGCAGUGAAAUCGAUCAGAUAAAAGAGCUGUCGUCCACAAAACAUGUUGAGGAUGGCGCAACCUCACCAACAAAGCAGCUACAACAAAAGAAGAAGAGACCUUUUAUGAGGAAGAUUGAAAGCUUACUCAAGAAGAAGCCGACUAGCAACCAGAAGUAGAGGAACUAGGAGGCAGGAAGUGGACAAGUGUUUGGAGUUUGAAAGAGACAGAGAUUUAAGUUUGCAAGAGAGGCGUUUCAGAUGGAAGGCAAGUGGUUUAGCUGCUAGACAUUCAGUCAGGUAAAACAUCAAACACCUACAAUGCGCCACAACAAACCACUCACAAACAACACUUCUGGAUAUCCAAACUUCAACCACAAUCAAACUCCAAUAGCCACAAACAAACCAACCAAACUUCUUCUCAAAAUAAAACAAUUCAAAUCCAAAUAAAAUCACAGAACCCAAUUGCUCUAAACACAACCAGGCUUUAUCGUGGCACCACAGGGGCGAAGAAGCUGAUGACAACGAUGAAGGAUGGAAGGAUGGUGGUCGGCGACAGAGGUGAUGGCUAGAAGAGCUGCGACAAAUGCGAAAGGUGAAGCUGCCAGAGGCACAACAGAGCAGAUGGGCUAGGAGAUGGCAGAGCCAAAGAGAAAGAAGAAUCUUCCGUUCGCCGGUCAGAGAAAGAGGUCAUCGAGGAGACUACUGCCAUGCAAAGACGGACGUGAUUGCCGGAGGAGAGGUAGAAAAAAAUAACGAGGCAGACGGGGAGGCGAGUAGAUCAACACGUUGAACUGCGCUUUGGCUAUAUUUAUUUUAUUUCUAUUCUGAUCAUUUUCACAAUAAUUUAUUUUAUGGAAUCCAUGCAUUCUGGAACUAUCAAUUCAUUUAUAUUCACUGAAUUUUACUUUGAGACAUUUUGACACAA